CCUACGGGCUGCACCAGUGGGGAAUAUUGGACAAUGGGCGCAAGCCUGAUCCAGCCAUGCCGCGUGAGUGAAGAAGGCCUUAGGGUUGUAAAGCUCUUUCACCGAUGAAGAUAAUGACGGUAACCGGAGAAGAAGCCCCGGCUAACUUCGUGCCAGCAGCCGCGGCAAUACGAAGGGGGCUAGCGUUGCUCGGAAUGACUGGGCGUAAAGGGCGCGUAGGCGGUUUAUGCAGUCAGAUGUGAAAUCCCCGGGCUUAACCUGGGAACUGCAUUUGAGACGCAUAGACUAGAGGUCGAGAGAGGGUUGUGGAAUUCCCAGUGUAGAGGUGAAAUUCGUAGAUAUUGGGAAGAACACCGGUGGCGAAGGCGGCAACCUGGCUCGAUACUGACGCUGAGGCGCGAAAGCGUGGGGAGCAAACAGGAUUAGAUACCCGUGUAGUC
RNAcentral lists this ribosomal RNA (440 nucleotides) under uncultured bacterium. RNAcentral describes it as "bacterial SSU rRNA". It matches the Rfam family "Bacterial small subunit ribosomal RNA", at positions 338 to 795 of the family's 1533-position model. The record is from RNAcentral.